This 69-nucleotide transfer RNA is filed under the name Diodon hystrix (spot-fin porcupinefish). RNAcentral's name for it is "tRNA-Glu". It matches the Rfam family "tRNA". Rfam says of the family: Transfer RNA (tRNA) molecules are approximately 80 nucleotides in length. Lineage: Eukaryota; Metazoa; Chordata; Actinopteri; Tetraodontiformes; Diodontidae. The record is from RNAcentral. RNAcentral also lists the same sequence under 1 other name.
GUUCUUAUAGUUAAUUGAUAACGGUGGUUUUUCAAGCCAAGAGUCUGGGUUAAAGUCCCGGUAGGAAUU